UGGGGCGCGCGCGCCCCGCGCCGCCUCCGCGGCGUCCCCGCCCCGCGCGCUCUGCCCGGCCCGCGCACCGGGAGUGGGGCCGCUGUGCCUUCGCCGUGGCGCCCUCCGGGGGCUGUUCACGUCCCUACCGUUCCGGGAGGAGACUGUUGGGAAAUGUAGCGAAAUGCUUUGCUAUACUACUAGGGAUGGAAGCUUUACCAUGUGGGAUGAGGGUUCAACAAGCUACCCUAUAGUGAGAAUCCAAUGGAGAAGCCUAUAGGUGAAAAUCUGGAGUCUUAGACAAUCAAAGAGAACUUCAUAACCUUGAAAACAACAUGUGAAUGAACUUGUAAAUGAAUCCUUCCAUUCCGGUUGAGUUCUGAGAUUAUGGCAGUAUUGCCUGAUAGCCCAACCACAACUCUGAGAAGACCUGAGCCAGAACCAGUCAGCUAAGCCAUUCCUAGAUUCCUGACCAUCAAAAACUGUGAGAUAAUAAUUUUUGUCUUUUUCUGCCACCAAAUUUGAAAUAAUGUGUUAUGUGUCAAUACCUAAUCAGUAGGGUAUGUGAGCUGUGACAGCAUACUACCUUGAAUAUUUUUAAAACACAGAUGACAGAUUAUGAGACCUCAUUUGAAUAUUAAGAUGAUUGCUUAUCAGUUUACACUAGUUGCUUUAAUUACUUUCAUUAGAUUUAGAAACAGUCUAUUUGAAAGAACACUUUAUAUAUACUUAGAUUUUUAAUAUUAGUUGGAAAGCAUAAAACCUUACUUGCUUUCAACUUUCUGUCAAAUCCGUAUAUAUUGAAUUCUUUUAUAUUAUUUGUCUUACAUGAAAGAACUGUAUUAGUGAUUUUUGUUUAGGUUCCUUUUGGGGAAUAAAGAGAAUCAGCCCUUAGCAUUCAGCAUAUUUAGGGGCUGACACUGUGAUGUAGCAGGUUAAGGCACUGCUUGCAAUUCCAGCAUCCCAAAUUUGAGUGCCUAUUGGUUGUUUGACUUGUGAUCCAGCUUUCUAUUAAUAGACCUUGGAGUUGAGGAUGGCCCAAAUAAUUAGGCCCCUGACACUCACGUGGGAAACUACCAUUGAGUUCCUGGUUUCUGAUUUCAGCCUGGCCCAGAUCUGGUUAUUGCAGUCAUUUGGGGAAUGAACCAGCAGAUGGAAGAUCUCUGGCUCUCCCUCCUUCUCUGUCAUUCUGCCUUGCAAACAAGUAAAUAAAUACAUUUUUAAACAAAAAGUGUGUGUGAUGCUACACAUGCAAAAGAUUUUAAGCAAUUUAGCACGUUAAUAAGAAAAACAUCUUUUGGUUUUGGCUCUCAUGAGUUGCUUACUUCUGAAGGUAAUCACACUCUCUUUAGCUUUUAUAGUAACCUGUUUAUAUCCAAUUAAGAUAAAUGCCAAUGAUGGAAUAAAGACAGUUGCUUCCAAGAAACUUUCUUACACUACCUUAUGUGUAACCCUAUUCCUAAUUUUCUAUAUACAGUCAUGUAGGAAAAGAAAGGAUUUUGGACUUAAGUUAUAUGCCACUUUAAAAUGCUUAUGCAGUCAACCUAUUAUUUAUAUUCAUGUCUGUUAAAUUCUCAGCUUAUAAAUCUGCUGGUUAUUGAUCAAUGAUGGUUUGGCUUUGACAGCCAAAAUUUUAUGUUGAUAAUGAUAAAUUUUGUGCUUUAUUACAUCUAUCAAAUAGUGUAUUACUUUACUUUUGGGGUAGGUUUAACUAAACCUAGUCCAAGAAAUAUACUGACUAUAGAAUUAUUAUAUGGCAACAUCCCAAUUCAAUAUGUGACUUAAAAAAAAAGAGAAAGGCAAAUGUUGGGGUACACCAGGAUAAGCUGGCACUUGGUGACAGCUGCAUCCCAUAUUAUAGUGCCUUUUCAAAUCCUGGCUCCUCCACUUAUAAUCCAGCAGUGGGUGGUGGCCCAAGUACUUGAGUCCCUGCAGCCCAUGGGAGAGCUCGUUGGAGUUCCACCUCUUGGCUUUGACAUAGCUCAACCUCAGCUGUUGUGGCAUUUGGAGAGUGAACCGGCAGAUGGAAGAUAUUCAUUCUCUCUCUCUCUCUCUCUCUCUCUCUCUCUCUCUCUUUCUCAGCACUCUGCCUUUCAAAUCAAUCGAUCAACCAUGAAAAAGAAAGGGAUAUAAAUUAAAUAUAAAUUAUGUCAUUUAAUAAUUUUUUUCACAAAAUAGCAGCAUCUAGUGACCUAUAAAGAGCCUCCGUCAGGGUGUUUCUGAUGUAUCUUUGCUCUUCAGUUUGAAUCUGGCAUUAGUUGUCACAGUGAGUUCAGCUGACAGCCAGAUUAUCAGGAUCUCUUGCUUUAUAGAUUCAGUUUUUUGUGAAACUAAAUCGACCUCCCCCCCAAAAAUUUAUUUAUUUAUUUAUUUGAGGGACAGAGACAGGACAGACAGAGCUUCUAGAUAUGUCCACAGCACUCCUCAAAUGCCAGCAAUAGCCAUGCUGAAGUUGGAAUCUGGGAACUCAAUUCAGUUCUCCUAUGUGGGUGGCAGAGACUCAGUACUCUGGCCAUCACCUGCUGGCUCCCAGGAUGUACCUUAGCAAGAAGGAGAAAUGUGAAGUGGAGUGGUGACUUGAACACAGGCACUCUAUUACUCUAAGCAGCAUCUUAACUGCUGGGCCAAAUGUCUGCCCUUGAGCUUUUAAUUUUCAGUUGUGUUUUUAGCCUAAUGUCCAUAUUGCUAUUCUUCCUACUAUUUUAAAAUUAUCUAAUAUAGACCCUUGUAUGUAGACAGUGCCAAUGAGUUUCUGUGACUAAAAUAGAUAAAUUACUUUUGAAAAAUCAAACUAAAGACUAUCUUUGAACAAAGAGCUAUAAAAAGAAAUUUGUCUUUGAAAGUAAUUAAAAUCUGCCUUUUCAGUUUUUAUAGCAGAACAAAGUAAUGUAAGCUAUUUUUAUCACUGAUUGGCUUAAUAGUAUAUGAAUAUUCUUUAAACUUAUUGCUUGAUAAUCCAACAUCCUGACUAUAAUGUAUUCAUACUUUGAACUUUCUUAAAUACUGCUUAUUUGAAGAAAGUUCCUGACAUUAUCUUUAAUUAUGAUGAAUAAUUAUGGUGUGCACCAGUUUGAUUAAAAAAACAAUGUAAAUACUGUCUUUUAUAUGCAAAGAAAUUAGUAGUAAUUGAAUAUUUUUUUCUGUCAAAAUCCCUUUGCCAAGAUCUGCAUGAUACAAUCAAUAAGACAAUGUGAGACUGAUUUCAAACUCAAGGCCUUACUCUGUGUUUCAGUACAUUUUGCUCACUUAUCUUGAACAUUACAUGCAGGGAUAGGAUCUCACUCUCACUGUAUUCUUAACUCUGAAACGAUUUUAAAUAAUUCUCAUGGAAAUCACCUCCAAAGUACGUGGAAUGGCAAUUGCUAACUUAAAUUCAUGUUCACACCUAGUUCCACAUUAACUGUAUAAAACAAGGGCAAGCAGUAGUUUCUGUCCAACUCUUUCUUUAUCUGAAGGCUGCUUAUAUUUUGUGUAAAUUAAUUGAACUGCAUAACUUGUUAUGUAUAUAUAUUAUAAAAUGCUUAUUAUAUGUUAAAUAUUUAUGUUCAAAAACUGAAAGAAGCGCUAGCUUUGUGGAGCAGCCAUUUAGGCCACUGCUUAGGAUGCCAUCAUCCCAUAUCAGAGUGCUGGCUUAAGUCACAGCUACUCUGCUUCCAAUCCAGUUUCUUGCUAAUGUGCUUGGGCAGGCAGUGGAAGAUGGUCCAAGUAUUUGCAUCCCUGCCAUCCAUGUGAGAAACUAGGAUAGAGUUCCUGGUUUCUGGCUUCAGCCUGGACCAGUCCUGGCCAUUGUGGCCAUUUUUGGGGGGUGAACUAGUGGAUGGAGGAGCUCUCCUUCUCUCUGAAGAAACUUUCUGCCUUUCAAAUAAAUAAAUAAAUAAAUAGAUGAAAUUUUCUGCCUUUCAAAUAAAUCUUCAAAAAAACAGGAAGAGGCAAAAAUUAAGAAUUUUUGAGACAUCCUUGAUAUUAUAAGCACUGUUUUGCAGGGUCUUAGUCCACCCAUACAAGGAUGGACUGGGUCCAAGGAAAGGUAAGUGCUCGCCCGUUCUGCAGCCUCCUGAUCCCAGAGACAAUCAGACGCAGCGGGGAGUCAAGUCGUAACAGAGCCUUUUAUAGCACAAAACUGCAAAGUCAUUGGGGCAGGGCUAAGGACCAAACAAUCACUUAAAUGGUCAUUUUACAGGGUGAUUUCUAUAGGACUAGCCAUAUGUCUAUACACUUGUUACUAGUUUUGUUACCUCCCCUGAUGUUGCAUGGCCAGUUAGCUUUAGUGGUAAACAACUUUGGAUUUCACCCACCUUACUUCCUCUGGGCACCAUCUUUGAAUUGCUUUGUGUAACUAAUUUCCCCACACUGUUUGAAUCUUUCAAGAUUAAUGGAGGGUAUUUUUUAAUGAAAUAAUUAUUUUAAUUCCUUUAAAAUUUAAUACCAAAAAUUUCCUUAUCAAUAUAAUUUAAUUCCAUAUUAAUAUUUACUUUUGUACUUGCCUUAUAGACCAGGGGUGGAGAACCUUUUUAUUUUAUUUUAUUUUUUUGCCAAGGGCUAUUUGGAUAUUUAUAACAUUUUUCACGGACCAUACAAUGUUGUCAGCUUAAAAACUAGACUGCUAUAGAUUUAUUGAAUUUCUGGUCCUAAACAGAAGUUGCCUGACAGGGACAGACCAAAUGAUUUUGUGGGCUUAUAUGUCCCACUGCCUGGACAUUUCUUAUCCCAUUUAUAAAUAAUAGCUCAAUUAAUAGUUUGUAAAACAUAGCCUUUUUAACACUGAUCUAUCCCUCAAAUUCAGCAUUAGUCAUUUAGUUAACACGACAUUGUAAUUAAAGUUUGGAGUUUUAAAUAACUUAAGUAGACUCAUCUAUUCCUGAGGUAACUUUAAAAUAGGCAGCAUUAUCACUCAGUAGAAGCCUGCAGUAAAAUUUAAUGCCAAAGUGACUUUUCUAACUGUAUAGAUUUCACAACUGAUUCACACAAAAAUAUUAUUCUAUUUGAUGGUCCCCAAAAUAGUAGAUAUAGAAAUGGAAAAGAAUCAUUGAGGGAGGAGUUCGAAUUGGAAUUUUAUGAUUAGGCAGCAGGAAUGUCGUGUAAUUCGCUUUAGUCAUCAACUUUCAAGACAUCAAACAGACUGAAAGGUACAAUUAGAACAAAAUAUAGUAUCAGGUAGUUGCUAAUUUGGGAACUAUUUCAGGAAAUGAUUCAGAAGUCCUCUCUGUAAAUAUUCAUGAAAUGAUAAGCUGAUGGUCCAAAAUGCCCAUGUCUUUAAAGAAUUUUCUGCCAUUUUAAGCCACAUAUCAAGUUGACAUUCAUUCUAAUAUCAACUACCAGAUAACGCUUCUAAAUGACCUUUUCUUCUUCUAGUUAAAAAAAAUACUCUGAAAUGUGGACACAGAGGUGGCACUCCUGGCUGACUCCUUGCUGAGAGAUGUGAAUUCGAUGGGUGUUUUGGAGGUGUUAACCAUUACAUCUGCUGGAGCAGUUUUGGAGGGGGUGGUUGUCACUGUUCACUUGCCUCCUCAGAACUUCCUGGCUGUACUUACCUUCUAGGUUCUUUCCCACCAGAAACACCAGUGCCAUUGCAGAAUGUGGAAUCAGGUCCAUCCUGGGCUCCCCUGCCAUCAUGGGACUGGAUAAUACAACAUAGAAGUGCAGGGGAAAUGUUUCUCAGGGCAAAUGUUGGCCAGUGCUUGGCAAGAGACACAAGAGACCACUUAAAUUUCCUCUCUGUUCUUCCCAAUGAAGGCACCUUUUCCAUACCUGUCACCUUAAAACUGUGGAACACUUAGUCAGCAUUUUCUUUCCAAAUUUGCUUGCUUAACUUUCUUUUUCUCUCACUCUUUGUGUUCUGUGAUUGUACUACAAAUUAACACGUUCACUCCAAAAUUGUAUACUACUAAUGUAAUCCAUUAAAAUAUAAAAUCUUGAAUUGGAAUUGCUAUAGAUUUAAUAUAUAAUUUUAUCCACUUAAUAAUCUCUUUUCCCUUUAAAUUUACCAUCCUAGAGUUGCAUUUACUGAGACAUGAAUUGUUUUGGUGGUGAUGGAGAGAUAUUAGGAAUUCAUUUUUGGAUAUUUAAACUUGAGGUGACUACUAAACAAUUAAGUAUAGAUAUAAUGAAGGUAGUUGAUUAUGAGUCUGGAUUUUGGAACAAAGUAUUCAAGAUGGAGAUGCCAAUGUGAGACCUUUAGCAUCCAGAUGGUCAAUCAUACUGAGUUUGGAUGAGAUUUACUAAGGACUGAAUGUUGACAAAGCAAGGGACCCUGCAUGACAAAUAGCUAGAUUUCUAGAUUUAUAGGUUAAGAAAUGAUACAGGCCCAGCAUUGUGGCACAGCAGGUUAAGCCAGCAACCGUGAUGCUGUUAUCUCAUAUUGGAGUGCUGGUUUGUAUCCCGGCUGUUUUGCUUCUGGUCUUGCUCCAUGCUAACAUGCCUGGGAAAACAGUGGAAUAUGGUGCAAGUACUUGGACCUCUGACACCCAGGUGGGAGACUGGGAUGGAGUUUCUGGCUUCAGCCUUGGCUAUUGUGGCCAUUUGAGGAGUGAACCAGUGGAUGUAAGAUGUCUCUCUCCCCCUCUUUGUCACUUGCUUUUCACAUAAAGAAAUAAAUCCUUUUUUAAAAAAAGAAAUUACAAUAGAACAUCAAGCAGACUGGCAAAAUGUCCAGAGAGGUAGAAAAAAACACAUAGAGUGUGAAGUUUUGGAUUUCAAGAGGCAAAAAAGAAUGUAAUGAGGGACAGAAAGUCGGUUAAUGAAUUCACUGAUAAUGACAGGUCAAGUAUAAACAAAUAAGACUGAGAAUCCAAGAAUGGAUAUUUCAGAGUGAAGCAUAAUGUGAAUUUCAUUGAAGCAUAUUUUGUUGAGUAGAAGGAAUGAAAAAUUAAUUAGAAGGUUCAAGGGCGAAUGUGUGAAGGAGAGGCAGUUGUGUAGACAGACACCUCAUUCAAGGAAUUUGGGUGUAGAAGGAAAGAAAAAAGAUACAAGAAGGAAGAGCAAAGAUAUUUAUUUAAAAAUUAGCAUAUAUUGAGGGAAAUGACCCAGAAGAGAAAGAAAAAGUGAAUGCUUUAAGACAGCUAGCAAAAGAAGUAUCAGUGGGGCAAUAUUCUUUAGGGUGGGAGCAGGAUCGACUCUCCUGGCCACUGGAAACUAUGGACAGUUCACCCUCAGUAACAAGAGAAAAUACAGAGAUUCAGAUAGGGUAUACAUAUAUAGUGUUGUGGGUCCAUGAUCAGUAGUUUAUGAUUAUUUCUAUUAUCUUAAUUUGAUAGAGAUCAUUAGCUGAGAGUAUGGCUUGAAAGGGAAUUUUUGAAAAAUCCCAUAUGGGACUUCAGAGUUGCAGGCAGUGACUUAACCCAUUAUGCCAUAAUGCCAACCCUUCCCUGAAGAUCUUCAUUAUGGUUGUAGAAACGAGUACUACAGUGAAAUUGUGAUUUAGUGAAAAUUCAGCAUUUCUUUUAGAAUCUGUUAUGUCAGGAUUUAUUAUAA
Non-coding RNA from Oryctolagus cuniculus (rabbit), 7449 nucleotides. The record is from RefSeq and is a predicted model, not a curated record. Lineage: Eukaryota; Metazoa; Chordata; Mammalia; Lagomorpha; Leporidae.